Molecule: long non-coding RNA, 1062 nt
Organism: Neofelis nebulosa (Clouded leopard)
Lineage: Eukaryota; Metazoa; Chordata; Mammalia; Carnivora; Felidae
Exons: 2
Source: RefSeq, a predicted model, not a curated record
UCCAGGACCUAGAACAGUGCACGACCUAUCAUUGGUGUCGAAGAAAUAGGGUAUGAAUCCAGUCAUGCCUAUUUCCAUCCAUCUGACAAGUGUGUCUUCCCCAGCUCCUGUCCCUGUCUCCUGAUUUUUCCUCUUUCCCUCCCUAUCAGGUGUCACACACAAAUACAAGCCACUCUGAUGGCACCUUCCGGAUAAUAGUGGAGAAGAAUGCAUUGGCCACGUCUGUGGCUGCAUCCCGUGGGCUGGGACACGUUAAUCAGCUCUGGCAAAGCUACUCCGACUGGAAGUCACAAAGGGGGUUGCUGCUUGGUUGUCCUGUCCUGUAGAGUAUGUCGGGAUUGUUUCCAGGCCAGAUUGGUGAAUGAAAUAGAUGUGUGUUGGGUUCAUACCCUGCACCCCCCUCAGUCUUCAGCCUCUGGUGUUCCUUCCAGAUGAUGAGACUCAGGGACCGCCGUUCAACUCCAUUAUCCUUGUAAUUACCACUUUCCAAAGUUCUCCAGCAUCUGAGAUGUUGUACUUACAGUGCGUUCCUCCCCUUCCACGUUGUCUGUCCCAGUGCGCCAGUGGUCAAAGUUUUAACACUGCGCCAUGACAUCCUGCCAAGGGCUUUCAGUACCCCACCUGCCACCAGUGUGGUAGAUGGAUGCUGUGCACUCCAGGGCUGAGUUCUCCCAUCUGAAUUGCUACUUGUAGACAAUCUGAUGGACUGGGCACCUUGGGAGCGUAAGGAAGAUGCCAAGGGUAAUUCUUCAGCCUUUGUUCUGAUGAAGAGCACAGGGCGCGGGUGUAUUCCCACUGCAUUGAUUUGAAAAUACUUGUGUGUGUUUACAGAGGAGGGGACUUGCCAGUUGCAAUGGUGGUGGGCCUCAUGGGCGCAGGGUUGCCUGGCGGGGACCUAGGGACCAGCAGGGGAUUUCCAUCACCCAGAAGAGAGAGGUAACUUAGGCCAAGAGUGAACUUGUUUUAAAUGACAGGAGUGGCUAAAGACUCAGGUAAAUGAAGAGAAAGACAAGAUUUGAAGAAUCUGGUAAAUAAAUAGUUAGCCUUUGUGUGUCCUAGGAA